RNAcentral lists this ribosomal RNA (669 nucleotides) under alpha proteobacterium IMCC14962. RNAcentral describes it as "bacterial SSU rRNA". It matches the Rfam family "Bacterial small subunit ribosomal RNA", at positions 29 to 743 of the family's 1533-position model. The record is from RNAcentral. Lineage: Bacteria; Pseudomonadati; Pseudomonadota; Alphaproteobacteria.
ACGUACGCUGGCGGCACGCCUAACACAUGCAAGUCGAACGAAGUAGCAAUACUUAGUGGCAGACGGGUGAGUAACAUGUAGGUAUCUGCCCUUUGGCCUGGAAUAACACGAGGAAACUUGUGCUAAUACCGGAUAAGUCUUUACGGAGAAAGCUUUAUGCACCAUUGGAUGAGCCUGCACUUGAUUAGUUUGUUGGUGGGGUAAUGGCCUACCAAGACUGUGAUCAAUAGCUGAUUUGAGAGGAUGAUCAGCCACAUUGGGACUGAGACACGGCCCAAACUCCUACGGGAGGCAGCAGUGGGGAAUCUUGCACAAUGGAGGAAACUCUGAUGCAGCGAUGCCGCGUGAGUGAAGAAGGCCUUUGGGUUGUAAAGCUCUUUCGUCGGGGAAGAAAAUGACUGUACCCGAAUAAGAAGGUCCGGCUAACUUCGUGCCAGCAGCCGCGGUAAUACGAAGGGACCUAGCGUAGUUCGGAAUUACUGGGCUUAAAGAGUUCGUAGGUGGUUGAAAAAGUCAGUGGUGAAAUCCCAGAGCUUAACUCUGGAACUGCCAUUAAAACUUUUCAGCUAGAGUAUGAUAGAGGAAAGCAGAAUUUCUAGUGUAGAGGUGAAAUUCGUAGAUAUUAGAAAGAAUACCAAUUGCGAAGGCAGCUCUCUGGAUCAUUACUGA